This 492-nucleotide ribosomal RNA is filed under the name uncultured bacterium. RNAcentral's name for it is "partial 16S ribosomal RNA". It matches the Rfam family "Bacterial small subunit ribosomal RNA", at positions 29 to 507 of the family's 1533-position model. The record is from RNAcentral.
AGUGAACGCUGGCGGUAGGCCUAACACAUGCAAGUCGAACGGCAGCACAGUAAGAGCUUGCUCUUACGGGUGGCGAGUGGCGGACGGGUGAGGAAUACAUCGGAAUCUACUUUUUCGUGGGGGAUAACGUAGGGAAACUUACGCUAAUACCGCAUACGACCUACGGGUGAAAGCAGGGGAUCUUCGGACCUUGCGCGAUUGAAUGAGCCGAUGUCGGAUUAGCUAGUUGGCGGGGUAAAGGCCCACCAAGGCGACGAUCCGUAGCUGGUCUGAGAGGAUGAUCAGCCACACUGGAACUGAGGCACGGUCCAGACUCCUACGGGAGGCAGCAGUGGGGAAUAUUGGACAAUGGGCGCAAGCCUGAUCCAGCCAUACCGCGUGGGUGAAGAAGGCCUUCGGGUUGUAAAGCCCUUUUGUUGGGAAAGAAAAGCAGCAGGUUAACACCCCGCUGUUCUGACGGUACCCAAAGAAUAAGCACCGGCUAACUUCGUG